This 449-nucleotide ribosomal RNA is filed under the name uncultured bacterium. RNAcentral describes it as "partial 16S ribosomal RNA". It matches the Rfam family "Bacterial small subunit ribosomal RNA", at positions 29 to 523 of the family's 1533-position model. The record is from RNAcentral.
AACGAACGCUGGCGGCAUGCUUAACACACGCAAGUCGAACGAGACCUUCGGGUCUAGUGGCGCACGGGUGCGUAACGCGUGGGAAUCUGCCCUUAGGUACGGAAUAACUCAGAGAAAUUUGUGCUAAUACCGUAUGAUGUCGAAAGACCAAAGAUUUAUCGCCUAAGGAUGAGCCCGCGUAAGAUUAGCUUGUUGGUGAGGUAAAAGCUCACCAAGGCGACGAUCUUUAGCUGGUCUGAGAGGAUGAUCAGCCACACUGGGACUGAGACACAGCCCAGACUCCUACGGGAGGCAGCAGUGGGGAAUAUUGGACAAUGGGCGAAAGCCUGAUCCAGCAAUGCCGCGUGAGUGAUGAAGGCCUUAGGGUUGUAAAGCUCUUUUACCAGGGAUGAUAAUGACAGUACCUGGAGAAUAAGCUCCGGCUAACUCCGUGCCAGCCGCCGCAGUAA